GUCUAUGGCCAUGCCACCCUGAACAAGCCCAAUGGCUGAUCUCAGAAGCUAAGCAGGGUUGGGCCUAGUUAGUAUUUGGAUGGGAGACCACCUAGGAAGACCAGAUGCUAUAGGCA
Molecule: non-coding RNA, 116 nt
Organism: Pteropus alecto (black flying fox)
Lineage: Eukaryota; Metazoa; Chordata; Mammalia; Chiroptera; Pteropodidae
Source: Rfam